GAUGAACGCUGGCGGCGUGCCUAAUACAUGCAAGUCGAGCGAACGGACGAGAAGCUUGCUUCUCUGAUGUUAGCGGCGGACGGGUGAGUAACACGUGGAUAACCUACCUAUAAGACUGGGAUAACUUCGGGAAACCGGAGCUAAUACCGGAUAAUAUUUUGAACCGCAUGGUUCAAAAGUGAAAGACGGUCUUGCUGUCACUUAUAGAUGGAUCCGCGCUGCAUUAGCUAGUUGGUAAGGUAACGGCUUACCAAGGCAACGAUGCAUAGCCGACCUGAGAGGGUGAUCGGCCACACUGGAACUGAGACACGGCCAAGACUCCUACGGGAGGCAGCAGUAGGGAAUCUUCCGCAAUGGGCGAAAGCCUGACGGAGCAACGCCGCGUGAGUGAUGAAGGUCUUCGGAUCGUAAAACUCUGUUAUUAGGGAAGAACAUAUGUGUAAGUAACUGUGCACAUCUUGACGGUACCUAAUCAGAAAGCCACGGCUAACUACGUG
Molecule: ribosomal RNA, 497 nt
Filed under: uncultured bacterium
Lineage: Bacteria
Description: partial 16S ribosomal RNA
Rfam family: Bacterial small subunit ribosomal RNA
Source: RNAcentral